This is a non-coding RNA of Parelaphostrongylus tenuis, 71 nucleotides long. The record is from the annotation of a GenBank genome assembly. NCBI's taxonomy places the organism in Eukaryota, Metazoa, Nematoda, Chromadorea, Rhabditida, Metastrongylidae.
GCUUCGGUUGUGUAGUGGUAGCACGCGUCCCCGAUAUGGAUGAGAUGCGGGUUCGGCUCCCGUCUGAGGUC